ACCCAGCACCUCGAGUGGUCAGGAGGUUUAUUGGGCCUAAAGCAUCCGUAGCCGGUUACAUAGGUUUUCGGUUAAAUCUAUGCGCUCAACGUAUAGGCCGCCGAAAAUACUGUGCAGCUAGGGAGUGGGAGAGGUACACGGUACUCAAUAGGAAGGGGUAAAAUCCUUUGAUCUAUUGAUGACCACCUGUGGCGAAGGCGGUGUACCAGAACACGUUCGACGGUGAGGGAUGAAAGCUGGGGGAGAAAACCGG
This 253-nucleotide ribosomal RNA is filed under the name uncultured archaeon. Its description in RNAcentral is "partial 16S ribosomal RNA". It matches the Rfam family "Archaeal small subunit ribosomal RNA", at positions 474 to 727 of the family's 1478-position model. The record is from RNAcentral.